UCUGUCGUAGCUCAGUCGGUAGAGAAUGUGUCUGCAAUGCAGAAGACCCAGGUUCAAUUUCUGGCUUGGGAA
Molecule: transfer RNA, 72 nt
Filed under: Ovis aries (sheep)
Lineage: Eukaryota; Metazoa; Chordata; Mammalia; Artiodactyla; Bovidae
Rfam family: tRNA
About the family: Transfer RNA (tRNA) molecules are approximately 80 nucleotides in length. Their secondary structure includes four short double-helical elements and three loops (D, anti-codon, and T loops). Further hydrogen bonds mediate the characteristic L-shaped molecular structure. tRNAs have two regions of fundamental functional importance: the anti-codon, which is responsible for specific mRNA codon recognition, and the 3' end, to which the tRNAs corresponding amino acid is attached (by aminoacyl-tRNA synthetases). tRNAs cope with the degeneracy of the genetic code in two manners: having more than one tRNA (with a specific anti-codon) for a particular amino acid; and 'wobble' base-pairing, i.e. permitting non-standard base-pairing at the 3rd anti-codon position.
Source: Rfam by way of RNAcentral